GGCACGUAGCGCAGCCUGGUAGCGCACCGUCAUGGGGUGUCGGGGGUCGGAGGUUCAAAUCCUCUCGUGCCGACCA
Molecule: transfer RNA, 76 nt
Filed under: Caudoviricetes sp.
Lineage: Duplodnaviria; Heunggongvirae; Uroviricota; Caudoviricetes
Description: tRNA-Pro
Rfam family: tRNA
About the family: Transfer RNA (tRNA) molecules are approximately 80 nucleotides in length. Their secondary structure includes four short double-helical elements and three loops (D, anti-codon, and T loops).
Source: RNAcentral